Molecule: ribosomal RNA, 204 nt
Filed under: uncultured bacterium
Lineage: Bacteria
Description: partial 16S ribosomal RNA
Rfam family: Bacterial small subunit ribosomal RNA
Source: RNAcentral
GCAGUCUGCAACUCGAGUGCAUGAAGCUGGAAUCGCUAGUAAUCGCGAAUCAGAAUGUCGCGGUGAAUACGUUCCCGGGUCUUGUACACACCGCCCGUCACACCAUGGGAGCCGACAACGCCCGAAGUCAGUGACCUAACCGAAAGGGGAGGAGCUGCCGAAGGGCGGGGGUUGGUAACUGGGGUGAAGUCGUAACAAGGUAAC